AGAAGUGCCGGGCCCUUGGGUGCCCAUGCCGGGCCUUCAAGAGGGAAGCCGGUGCGAGUCCGGCGCGGUCCCGCCACUGUGAACGGGUUGCCCUGAGGUCCAGGGCCGGAAGCCUCGGCUGUCACCACUUUCGCGUCAGCGGAUGCGAAGGGAAGGUGGAGGCUUCCUUCCAGAAGGGCGCAGCGUGCGCCCACGUCUGGAGCCCGUCAGCCAGGAGACCUGCCCAGGGGUGCGGCAGCGG
This 241-nucleotide non-coding RNA is filed under the name Corallococcus coralloides. Lineage: Bacteria; Pseudomonadati; Myxococcota; Myxococcia; Myxococcales; Myxococcaceae. RNAcentral also lists the same sequence under 1 other name. The record is from RNAcentral.